UCCCUAGUGGCUCAGAUGGUGAAGAAUCUGCCUGCAAUGCAGGAGACCUGGGUUUGAUCCCUGGCUUGGGAA
This 72-nucleotide transfer RNA is filed under the name Bos taurus (domestic cattle). It matches the Rfam family "tRNA". Rfam says of the family: Transfer RNA (tRNA) molecules are approximately 80 nucleotides in length. Their secondary structure includes four short double-helical elements and three loops (D, anti-codon, and T loops). RNAcentral also lists the same sequence under 1 other name. The record is from Rfam by way of RNAcentral. Lineage: Eukaryota; Metazoa; Chordata; Mammalia; Artiodactyla; Bovidae.